RNAcentral lists this ribosomal RNA (456 nucleotides) under uncultured marine bacterium. RNAcentral's name for it is "bacterial SSU rRNA". It matches the Rfam family "Bacterial small subunit ribosomal RNA", at positions 81 to 526 of the family's 1533-position model. The record is from RNAcentral.
GGGGACAAGGUUUAGCGGCGGACGGGUGAGUAACACGUAGGUAACCUGCCUGUAAGANNGGGAUAACAUUCGGAAACGAAUGCUAAUACCGGAUACGCGAAUGNUCGCAUGACUCGUUCGGGAAAGACGGAGCUUUCUGUCACUUACAGAUGGACCUGCGGCGCAUUAGCUAGUUGGUGAGGUAACGGCUCACGCAGGCGACGAUGCGUAGCCGACCUGAGAGGGUGAUCGGCCACACUGGGACUGAGACACGGCCCAGACUCCUACGGGAGGCAGCAGUAGGGAAUCUUCCGCAAUGGGCGAAAGCCUGACGGAGCAACGCCGCGUGAGUGAUGAAGGUUUUCGGAUCGUAAAGCUCUGUUGCCAGGGAAGAAUGCUUGGGAGAGUAACUGCUCCCAAGGUGACGGUACCUGAGAAGAAAGCCGGCUAACUACGUGCCAGCAGCCGCGGUAAUAC